UGGGGUAUGGCUCAGUGGCAGAGCAUGUGCUUAGCAUGUACAAGGCCCUGGGUUCAAUCCCCAGCACCAAAA
This 72-nucleotide transfer RNA is filed under the name Ictidomys tridecemlineatus (thirteen-lined ground squirrel). RNAcentral describes it as "Spermophilus tridecemlineatus (thirteen-lined ground squirrel) tRNA". It matches the Rfam family "tRNA". From Rfam's summary of the family: Transfer RNA (tRNA) molecules are approximately 80 nucleotides in length. Their secondary structure includes four short double-helical elements and three loops (D, anti-codon, and T loops). The record is from Rfam by way of RNAcentral. Lineage: Eukaryota; Metazoa; Chordata; Mammalia; Rodentia; Sciuridae.